AGUGAAACGAAACAGCGUCGAUGGUAGUGUGGGGUCUCCCCAUGUGAGAGUAGAACAUUGCCAGGCUU
This 68-nucleotide ribosomal RNA is filed under the name Vibrio cholerae. RNAcentral's name for it is "5S RNA". The record is from RNAcentral. Lineage: Bacteria; Pseudomonadati; Pseudomonadota; Gammaproteobacteria; Vibrionales; Vibrionaceae.